Molecule: ribosomal RNA, 761 nt
Filed under: Arthrobacter sp. KD232
Lineage: Bacteria; Bacillati; Actinomycetota; Actinomycetes; Micrococcales; Micrococcaceae
Description: bacterial SSU rRNA
Rfam family: Bacterial small subunit ribosomal RNA
Source: RNAcentral
GAGCUCGUAGGCGGUUUGUCGCGUCUGCCGUGAAAGUCCGAGGCUCAACCUCGGAUCUGCGGUGGGUACGGGCAGACUAGAGUGAUGUAGGGGAGACUGGAAUUCCUGGUGUAGCGGUGAAAUGCGCAGAUAUCAGGAGGAACACCGAUGGCGAAGGCAGGUCUCUGGGCAUUUACUGACGCUGAGGAGCGAAAGCAUGGGGAGCGAACAGGAUUAGAUACCCUGGUAGUCCAUGCCGUAAACGUUGGGCACUAGGUGUGGGGGACAUUCCACGUUUUCCGCGCCGUAGCUAACGCAUUAAGUGCCCCGCCUGGGGAGUACGGCCGCAAGGCUAAAACUCAAAGGAAUUGACGGGGGCCCGCACAAGCGGCGGAGCAUGCGGAUUAAUUCGAUGCAACGCGAAGAACCUUACCAAGGCUUGACAUGUUCCAGACCGCCUCAGAGAUGGGGUUUCCCUUCGGGGCUGGUUCACAGGUGGUGCAUGGUUGUCGUCAGCUCGUGUCGUGAGAUGUUGGGUUAAGUCCCGCAACGAGCGCAACCCUCGUUCCAUGUUGCCAGCGGGUUAUGCCGGGGACUCAUGGGAGACUGCCGGGGUCAACUCGGAGGAAGGUGGGGAUGACGUCAAAUCAUCAUGCCCCUUAUGUCUUGGGCUUCACGCAUGCUACAAUGGCCGGUACAAUGGGUUGCGAUACUGUGAGGUGGAGCUAAUCCCUAAAAGCCGGUCUCAGUUCGGAUUGGGGUCUGCAACUCGACCCCAUGAA